Molecule: ribosomal RNA, 465 nt
Filed under: Vreelandella stevensii
Lineage: Bacteria; Pseudomonadati; Pseudomonadota; Gammaproteobacteria; Oceanospirillales; Halomonadaceae
Description: partial 16S ribosomal RNA
Rfam family: Bacterial small subunit ribosomal RNA
Source: RNAcentral
CCUACGGGGUGCUGCAGUGGGGAAUAUUGGACAAUGGGCGAAAGCCUGAUCCAGCCAUGCCGCGUGUGUGAAGAAGGCCUUCGGGUUGUAAAGCACUUUCAUUGGGGAAGAAAGCCUUGGGGCUAAUACCCUCGAGGAAGGACAUCACCCACAGAAGAAGCACCGGCUAACUCCGUGCCAGCAGCCGCGGUAAUACGGAGGGUGCGAGCGUUAAUCGGAAUUACUGGGCGUAAAGCGCGCGUAGGCGGUCUGAUAAGUCGGUUGUGAAAGCCCCGGGCUCAACCUGGGAACGGCAUCCGGAACUGUCAGGCUAGAGUGCAGUAGAGGAAGGUAGAAUUCCCGGUGUAGCGGUGAAAUGCGUAGAGAUCGGGAGGAAUACCAGUGGCGAAGGCGGCCUUCUGGACUGACACUGACGCUGAGGUGCGAAAGCGUGGGUAGCAAACAGGAUUAGAUACCCCAGUAGUC